RNAcentral lists this ribosomal RNA (716 nucleotides) under uncultured bacterium. RNAcentral's name for it is "bacterial SSU rRNA". It matches the Rfam family "Bacterial small subunit ribosomal RNA", at positions 88 to 789 of the family's 1533-position model. The record is from RNAcentral.
GAGACGAGUGGCGAACUGGUGAGUAACACGUGGGUAACCUGCCCUUGAAGUAGGGGAUAACACUUGGAAACAGGUGCUAAUACCGUAUAACAACCAAAACCACCUGGUUUUGGUUUAAAAGACGGCUUCGGCUGUCACUUUAGGAUGGACCCGCGGCGUAUUAGCUUGUUGGUAAGGUAACGGCCUACCAAGGCGAUGAUACGUAGCCGACCUGAGAGGGUAAUCGGCCACAUUGGGACUGAGACACGGCCCAAACUCCUACGGGAGGCAGCAGUAGGGAAUCUUCCACAAUGGACGAAAGUCUGAUGGAGCAACGCCGCGUGAGUGAUGAAGGGUUUCGGCUCGUAAAACUCUGUUGUUGGAGAAGAACAGGUGUCAGAGUAACUGUUGACAUCUUGACGGUAUCCAACCAGAAAGCCACGGCUAACUACGUGCCAGCAGCCGCGGUAAUACGUAGGUGGCAAGCGUUGUCCGGAUUUAUUGGGCGUAAAGCGAGCGCAGGCGGUUUUUUAGGUCUGAUGUGAAAGCCUUCGGCUUAACCGGAGAAGUGCAUCGGAAACCGGGAGACUUGAGUGCAGAAGAGGACAGUGGAACUCCAUGUGUAGCGGUGAAAUGCGUAGAUAUAUGGAAGAACACCAGUGGCGAAGGCGGCUGUCUGGUCUGUAACUGACGCUGAGGCUCGAAAGCAUGGGUAGCGAACAGGAUUAGAUACCCUG